Pelobates cultripes (western spadefoot toad) is the source of this 115-nucleotide non-coding RNA. The record is from the annotation of a GenBank genome assembly. Lineage: Eukaryota; Metazoa; Chordata; Amphibia; Anura; Pelobatidae.
AGAGAUCCCAGAUGUUUUAAAACCACUACUCCCAUGAUGCUUUGCAUGCCUUUAGCAUGCAUUUCGCAUGGCAAAGCAUCAUGGAAGCUGUAGUUUUAAAACAUCUGGGAUCUCC